AAGUUAAACGGCCGCGGUACCCUAACCGUGCGAAGGUAGCGCAAUCACUUGUUCUUUAAAUGAGGACUAGUAUGAACGGCAUCACGAAGGUUAUACUGUCUCCUUCCUCCAAUCAGUGAAACUGACCCCCCCGUGAAGAGGCGGGGAUAAAAAUAUAAGACGAGAAGACCCCAUGGAGCUUUAAACUCAGCAUCAAUUGCCCAACUCAAAUAUCAUUUUAAAUCAGCAAACCUGACAGCUAGUUUUCGGUUGGGGUGACCACGGAGCAAAACAAAACCUCCAUGAUGAAAGGACAAACUUCCUAAUCUAAGAGCUACAACUCAAAGAAUCAAUAAACUGACAUAACUUGAUCCAAUUAACUUUGAUCAACGAACCAAGUUACCCUGGGGAUAACAGCGCAAUCCACUUCAAGAGCCCCUAUCGACAAGUGGGUUUACGACCUCGAUGUUGGAUCAGGGUAUCCCAGUGGUGCAGCCGCUACUAAUGGUUCGUUUGUUCAACGAUUAA
RNAcentral lists this ribosomal RNA (507 nucleotides) under Uperodon mormoratus. Its description in RNAcentral is "partial small subunit ribosomal RNA". It matches the Rfam family "Bacterial large subunit ribosomal RNA", at positions 1920 to 2591 of the family's 2925-position model. Lineage: Eukaryota; Metazoa; Chordata; Amphibia; Anura; Microhylidae. The record is from RNAcentral.